Molecule: ribosomal RNA, 484 nt
Filed under: uncultured bacterium
Lineage: Bacteria
Description: partial 16S ribosomal RNA
Rfam family: Bacterial small subunit ribosomal RNA
Source: RNAcentral
AUUGAACGCUGGCGGCAUGCUUUACACAUGCAAGUCGAACGGCAGCGCGGGCUUCGGCCUGGCGGCGAGUGGCGAACGGGUGAGUAAUACAUCGGAACGUGCCCAGUAGUGGGGGAUAGCUCGGCGAAAGCCGGAUUAAUACCGCAUACGACCUGAGGGUGAAAGCGGGGGAUCUUCGGACCUCGCGCUAUUGGAGCGGCCGAUGGCAGAUUAGCUAGUUGGUGGGGUAAAGGCCUACCAAGGCGACGAUCUGUAGCUGGUCUGAGAGGACGACCAGCCACACUGGGACUGAGACACGGCCCAGACUCCUACGGGAGGCAGCAGUGGGGAAUUUUGGACAAUGGGCGAAAGCCUGAUCCAGCAAUGCCGCGUGUGUGAUGAAGGCCUUCGGGUUGUAAAGCACUUUUGGCGGGAACGAAAAGGACUGUGCCAAUACCACGGUUCGAUGACGGUACCCGCAGAAUAAGCUCCGGCUAACUACGUG